AUUUUGAUCGAGUUUAGUAAAGAGUUCGAUCCUAAGUAGGAUUUUGAUUUAGGAUUUGUUUAGAUUUAAUUUUGAAUUAGAAUUAAUGCAAGAAUAUAAUUUUGAAUAAUGGAUACUGAAGAAUCUCCUAAAGGUUAAUCGAUCUGUUUAUUCAGUAGUUUGUGAAAGAUAAGUAAUGAAUUAUCAUUUCGAGAUAUUUUAUAUUUAUUUUAAAAAUAAAUAAUUAUUUUUAAAAUUAUGUAUGAUUUAUAAAAUUAUAUUUUGAAUGAAAAGUAAUUCUGAAAUACUAUGGUUUAUUGAUUAUGUAUAUGUUCAGUAGAAAUUAUGAUAUGUUAUGAUAUAAAAGUAUUUUGACAU
Molecule: long non-coding RNA, 357 nt
Filed under: Elaeis guineensis (African oil palm)
Lineage: Eukaryota; Viridiplantae; Streptophyta; Magnoliopsida; Arecales; Arecaceae
Description: long non-coding RNA (EGUI_LNC048957)
Source: RNAcentral